Molecule: long non-coding RNA, 703 nt
Filed under: Helianthus annuus (common sunflower)
Lineage: Eukaryota; Viridiplantae; Streptophyta; Magnoliopsida; Asterales; Asteraceae
Description: hypothetical non coding rna
Source: RNAcentral
GCCAUCACAAAAGAAACCCUAAUGGUUUCUCUUCUUGCCUUUUCUUGCCUUGACAAAAAAAUCAUCUGUGAAGAAUAACAAAGGUAUGCAAGCUCUUUGUACUCAAGCGACUGAUGAAGAAGGUAGUCUGCUCCUCAAAGUGUUUUUAAUCAAUUUCUCUUAGCCAGUUUCUUCAUAUUGGUCCUGCACAAGCUCAAAACUAAAAGGAUUCUCCAAGAUGUGAUAUUGUAAUGAAGGUUCACCGGAAGCACCGUGUUGAAAAGUUGCAGUUUUUAUAAAUUGUGUCAAAUAGGAUUAACAAGAUUCUGUUUAUUAGUUAGUAGGCCAUUUUUUAUAAUGAGUGACUUAGAAGUAAAAGGAUUGAACAUUGGUUCCCAUUUACUAUAUGUUUAUGCUUUCUCACACUUUUGUUUUACAUUACAAUCAAAAGAAAGAUCUAGGUUAUGAAAUUGCACGGCAUGUGAAUUUGUUUUGUGAUUUUUAUGAUAGGUUCUGGCCAUUGUGUGUGAGGAGCUCCCUCCUAAUAUAAUUAUGUUACGUAUCUGCUCCAAGUAACAUUUUUAUUGUUCACAUGUUGGCUAAUUUAUGGUCUGUAACCUCUAUGGAUUUUUUUAGAUAUGUAGAGUACAUUGUCAAUUUUAUUGUUCACAUAUUGGCUUAUUUAUGAUAUGUAACCUCUUUAUGGAAUUUUUUUAGCUAUGUU